UCCGUGUUUUUCUUGUUAUCAACAGUACAGGCUGACCCUACGAGCAAAGACAGUUUUAGCUACAAAUGUUUAGCGCCUCGUCUUGCAACUAGGUGCAUCUGUUUAAAAUUGGAACCAUUGUCUGAGCUCUGAGGCAGAAAAACUAGAUGGCGUUUAUGUGCGUCUAUGAUAAAUAUUACGAGUGACAAGUUAAAUGGGUGUUUGUUACGUUUAUACCUGUUUAGUGUUUCAAAGGAUUUUUCGUCAAAAAAAUUGCGGGUUUUGCCUUGUCAGCUGCUGAACCAGUAGCCUGCAUUCCUGCUAUCAAUGUACCACAAGGGAUGCUGACACUUUAAGAAGACCAACAGUGACCACUAUGCCCGAGACAUGAACAUCACCAUCCUGUUCAGAGUCUUCGUCUACUAUGUGUUGCUAACCAUCAGCCUUCAGCAUCCCAUGUAUCCAGAUUUUGAAGCUUCUCUGCUUAGCCAACCAUUCUCCAUACACUUCAGCUCUUCAUUGUGGCUUCUCUUCUUUUCUUCUUAGCCUGCCGAAUGCAAACAGGAAUAAAGGUUCAUCUCCAUUGAUGCCAUACCAUGAAAUUGAAAAUGUCAUUGUUAAUCCUGCUGCCAAAUCGUCUUUCCGUACGAGUCAUGCAGUUUUAGAUUUCUCGUGGAAUUUCCUUGCAACAUCCACCCAGGCUUAAAAGGGCAUCCUACCAGUUGUUUGGACCAUACCUGCCUCGCCGUCUUCGCCUCGCCGUCUUCGCCUUACCGUCAUUGCCGCAUAAUCUUUGCUCGCGCCCGGCUUCUCUUCAUCGCCGUCAUCGUGGAACGUCGCGUUUUUGGUAUUUUGUUUUGUUUUGUUUUGUUUUGUUUUGUGUUGUUUUGUAUUGUUGUAUAGUGUAUGUUUAAAGUUAACCCGUUGGCUGCCACCCAUUUUGCUCCCCUUUUUUUUUUAGUUGUAGGGACCGGCGGCGCUGUUCUGCCCCAUGGUUGAUCACCCAUGGGGUGGGGCAGUCGCCUUGCGCCUUAGGGCGCCGUAGGCAAUGCACCAGUAGGGACUUUCCCUUGUCGAUGCGAUGGUGGAGUACCUGGGGUGUGCAUUCCCGUAAAGGUCUCCAUCGUCAAGUCAGCCCGGACUUGUCUUCGGACAAGUCCUCCUUUCAUCGGAUCCAUCUGAAACGAUGCGUAGCGAUUGUAGAAGAACAACCUAUGGGUUGUAAUGGCUUGGCAGCCAACGGGUUAACUUAUGUGUUUGUAUUCCUAUGCAUGUAUGUAUUGUAUUUAUUUUAUAAUGUGUGAUGUAAAACUGUGGUGGAAUUGUGGGUGGAGGUGGGAUAAUACAAAACCAAUUCCAUUUA
Molecule: long non-coding RNA, 1342 nt
Filed under: Daphnia magna
Lineage: Eukaryota; Metazoa; Arthropoda; Branchiopoda; Diplostraca; Daphniidae
Description: uncharacterized LOC116930668
Source: RNAcentral